Molecule: non-coding RNA, 72 nt
Organism: Ictidomys tridecemlineatus (thirteen-lined ground squirrel)
Lineage: Eukaryota; Metazoa; Chordata; Mammalia; Rodentia; Sciuridae
Source: Rfam
GGGGCUGUGGCUCAGUGAUAGAGCACUUGCCUGGCAUGUGUGAGGCCCUAAGUUCGAUCCUUAGCAGCACAU